AAUCUGAAAGUAACAAGAACUCAUAAUUAGUUAUGUCUCAAAAGGUAUUUCACUCCUUUAUGGAUAAAAGAAUGAGAGCUUAAAGGUGACUUGUGGUACUCAAGGAUGCUAACACAGCAGGAUGCUUUGGUCUCUGAUAUGCUGUCCAUGCUUGUUUUCAGAUAAAGUUAAUGUUUCCUAUAGUUUGUAUAUCUUAUUAGUAAUUCUCAUCUACUGGAUACUUGUUUUGCAGCAAUCCCUUGAGAAAACAUUGAGGCUGAAAUUCAGAAAAACUGAUGUGUAUGUCUACAACUCUAUCACCUAUUACAGAACUGCUACAGAUGGAAGUGUUCUUUCCUCUAUCUCAAAUAUUUAAAAAAGCAUGUAAUUAUAACAUUGAUAAACUUAUUAAGACCCCAAACAGCCUAGACUGAAGGACAGCUUCUGGAGAUCAUCUUGUUCCUUUUGAGAUUUUAUGCCUUUUAUUCCCUUCCUGCUUAGCUGAGAACUCCUGGUAUACCUGGUGGUGCACCAAGAGGAGCUAGCUGUAUCCGUUGUCCAGCUGAUCCAACUUCUUUUUUGUGAAAGGAAGGGAUAUAUACUCCUGAUGGGUUGUAAGUAGCACCACUUACAAAGCCAGGAUUUCCUGUUGACAUUACAGAGUUUUAGUAUUUUCAGUUAGAUUCAAAAAACCUUGCCUACUUUUUAUAGUCACUUUAAAAUAUAUUUGCAGUACCACAAGAGUACUAAGUAGGAGUGUUCUUUAAAAACUCCCUAGUGCUUGUCUGUUGGAAGAAAAUACAUAUUCAUUGUUUGCUUUGUAUAUUAGCCGGACCCUUUACAGCACUUAACAGACUUGCUAAAUUGCAGAUCCAGUACAUCUGAUCUGCAGUUCAGCAGGAAUAAAGACAACAGAGCAGGAUGAACAUUUCAUUAGUACUUUCAUUAAACUUAGACCAUAUAGAAAGGUUUACACUGAGUUUGAGAGAAAGGUAGGAUCUUAGCUUUUGCUUACAGCUACUUGCUUUACUGGAAGCUCAUUUAAGUGCUUCAGUAUAUGAAAACCAGUACUCAACAGUACUCUUGUUCAACAUGUUCAGCCUAAAUCUAUCUGAAGUAAUGGAACCAGACUUCUCUUGUGGGAAGUGGUGCACCACUUGAAGUUGACUCGGCUGGUUCCACAGUUAAAGGCCUGCUAUGAAAGUCAGACCUAAUUACCCUCUUUCUUCAACCCCAGUUAUAAUUCUAUUAUGCCUAGUUUUGGUCCAGAUCUUUCUUUAAAGCAGUGCUACCUUGGGAAGUUUGACAUAACCAUCCUCAUUUGGAAGCUGAGAAACAUUGUGCAUUUACAGACAAAAUUAGUACUGAAAUUAUUGUCCAAUGCCAGAGGGAUUUGUUACAAUACUUAGGCUCCCUGCUCCAAGGAAAUUUCUUACCUUCUCUGUGUCUGUCAUCACUUGGGACAGUGUUAAGACCAUGCUGGCACAAUGUCCAGAGAGAAAUGCUUUUCUCUAGUGAUUUGGUUCUAUAUUCAGUAGUAUUAAAUUUGUGAACUACAAGGCCAUACACAGUAGUUUUAAUGUGACCUUUAUCAAGUGUGAGUAUUUUUAUAUUAAUAUUCAGCAUAGUUUCAAUGGUAGUUGCAGUAAAACACGCAAUAUCUGAUUUGACAGUUUUUCUGUCUCCUAAACACCUGGCCUCAGUACAAUCCCAAAACAUUCCUCUUCACACAAACACUCCCAGUCCUCUGUGGUAAUUUCAGAGCAGAGGAUCUAUAAGCUGCAAAACUGGUCAUGUACAAACUCCAAAAGGUAUCCUCAGCUAGUUACAGCUGUGUUGGGUCAUUGCAUAUGUCCCUGUUCAGGAACAUUAACAAAAAGCAUUCAGCUAACUCAGUUUUGCCGGUCUCCCCAAACUGUCACUUCUGUCAGUUCUGCAAAUAGUUAAAUCUCCUUGUGGCUUCCCUGUGUCCAGUUGAUGCCAGUCUCCAGUACAGUAAAGAAUGACACAAGAGUCCUGGUGAAAAAUACAACUUUUAAUAAAGUAUUCUAAUUAAAAUUUAA
Molecule: long non-coding RNA, 2042 nt
Organism: Aquila chrysaetos chrysaetos
Lineage: Eukaryota; Metazoa; Chordata; Aves; Accipitriformes; Accipitridae
Exons: 2
Source: RefSeq, a predicted model, not a curated record